Molecule: long non-coding RNA, 19451 nt
Filed under: Lactuca sativa (garden lettuce)
Lineage: Eukaryota; Viridiplantae; Streptophyta; Magnoliopsida; Asterales; Asteraceae
Description: long non-coding RNA (LSAT_LNC000994)
Source: RNAcentral
GCUCAAAGCAUUCCAAGUAUUGGGAGCGGAUGUUGUAACUUGAAAAUGAGGUAUCUAGUUGGAAAGAAGGCAUUCAAGACUACGGAGGAGAUGGAAAGUCUUAUUGAUGAAAAUAGUAAGAUAAUUUGGACAAAUGCUCAAAGACCUCUUGGGAAAGUGAACUCAGAAAUCGCAUCCAGUUCUGCACCUUCGGAUGGUGAUGCCCAAAAUCACUUCAAAUCAAGAGAGAAGUCUUUUAAGAACGCCUUGGAGUCCCUCCAACAAGAUCACAAGAGCAAAGUGAUAGCCCUAUGUGGAAUGGGUGGUGUGGGGAAAACCACCAUGAUGGAGCAACUGAAAAAGGCUGCAGAAGAUAAGAAAAUGUUUGAUUAUGUUGUGAAGGUGGUUAUUGGGCAACAAAUUAACAUGCUUUCUAUUCAGCAAGAUGUGGCAGUGUAUAUGAUGGGCCAGUCCCUCAUUGAACUGAGUAAAGAAGCUAGAGCAGAUCGUCUUCGUAUAACAUUUGGAAACCUUCUAGAAGGUAGAAGAAAGGUUUUACUAAUACUAGAUGAUGUAUGGGAAACGAUUGACCUCAAAGAUAUUGGAUUGAGUCCUUUGCCCAACGGCUUCAAGUUGUUGCUGACAUCACGAAAUGAAAAUAUUUGCAAACAAAUUGCAGUAGAAGCCAAUUCGGAGUCAACACUAGUUCGAGUGGAUGUGAUGGAAGAGCCUGAAGCAUGUAGUUUCUUUUGGCAAAUUAUAGGUGUUUCAAAACAAUAUGAUAAGGAUCUCAAACAAAUAGGAAGUGAGAUCGUGAGAAGAUGUGGUUUUUUGCCCCUUGCCAUUAAACUCAUCGCCAAAACCCUUCAAUUUCAAGAAGUUUUUGUAUGGAGAGAUACUUUUCAACGGUUGAAGAAGAAGAAUCUUGAUGAGAAUGUGCAAGAAGUUAUUAAGAUAAGCUAUGAUUAUAUAAAAACAGAGGAGGAAAAGGUGAUUUUUCUUCUGUGUGGCUUGUUUCCUGAUGACUUUAAUAUCCCAAUUGAGGAACUCACAAGAUAUGCAUGGGGCCUACAGUUAUUAAGUGAAGUAUCCACUUUGGGAGAGGCUAGAGACAGGACAAAAAUGUGUGUGCAGAAUCUUAGAAAUGCAAAUUUGUUGAUGGAUAGCGAUUGCAUUGGGUGUGUCAAAAUGCAUGAUCUUGUGCUUGCUUUUGUCAUAAAUACAGUUUCUAAAGGUCAUCAUCCAUGGAUAAUCAACCAUGGUGAUAUUUCAAAGUGGAGUAGAGCUGAAGUGAGAGAGUCUUGCAAAAGACUUUCUAUUACUUGCACAGGAAUGUCUGAGUUUCCUGGUGACUCUAAGUACCCAAACCUAUCACUUUUGAGACUUAUGGAUGGAGAUAAGUCACUUAAGUUUCCUGAAGGUUUUUAUGAAAAAAUGGAAAAUCUUGAAGUUGUAGCAUAUGAAAAAAUGCAGUAUCCGUUGCUUCCCAGAUCACUUGAAUGCUCCACCAAGCUCCAAACACUCAUUCUCCAUCAAUGCCUAUUGAUGUUUGAUUUCUCUGUUAUUGGUGAACUCAUGAAUCUGGAAGUGCUCAGUUUUGCUCAUUGUGGCAUCAGAAAGUUACCAUCCACAAUUGGAAAUUUGAAGAAGCUAAAGCUAUUGGAUUUGACGGGGUGUGUAAAUCUUCGUAUUGAUGAUGGUGUAUUGUUAAAUUUGGUCAAGCUUGAAGAGCUUUAUAUGAGAGUUGAUGAUAGAAAGGCAAUUAGGUUCACAGACAGCAAUCGUGUUGAAUUAGCAGAGCUUUCAAAUCAUCUUUCUGCAUUAGAAGUUGAGUUCUUUGACAACAAUGGUACGCCCAAGAAUAUGCUGUUUACUGAACUUAAAAGGUUUAGAAUCUCUAUGGGAUGUGGUUUAGGAGACAAUACUCACAAAAAUAUGCACUCAUUUGAAAACACAUUGAGGUUGGUCACUAACAAAGAUGAGCUGUUGGAAUCUACAAUGAAUGAGUUGUUUGAGAAAACCGAGGUGCUUUAUUUGGAGGUGGAUGGUAUGAACGAUCUUGAAGAAGUUUUAAUGGAAUCAGUUCAUCUCCCUCAGCAAGCGUUUAAUAAUCUAAGAGUCCUUGAUGUGUUCAAGUGUGAAAACUUGAGGUACCUCUUCACAGUCCCUAUUGCAAAUGGUUUGGUGAAGCUUGAGCGCCUCACAGUUUCAGAGUGCUCUGUUCUUGAAGUACUUGCACAUGGUGAAAAUGGUGGAGCUGAGAAAAUUAAGUUUCAGGGGCUAAAGUUUCUAGGAUUGGAUAGGCUACCAAAGCUGAUAGGUCUUUGCAACACUGCUAAUGUAAUUGAGCUACCACAGCUGGUGGAGUUGGAACUUGAUGGCCUUCCUAACUUCAAUAGCAUUUAUCCAAAGAAAACAUCUGCAACAUCUUCUAUGUCCAGUAAUGACUCUGCAAUUCAACCAUUAUUUAACAAACAGGUACCUCUAUAUUAGGAUUUAUGUUGACAGUUUCAUAGAUUGACUUAUAAUCAACAAGUCUUAAUUGUUGUGCAGGUGCUGAUUCCUAAGUUGGAGAAAUUGAGGAUUUGGAGGAUGGAUAAGCUGAAAGAGAUAUGGCCUUAUCAAGUUAUAAGUAGCAAAGACGUUGAUGCCUGCGUGUUGAGAAAGAUUGAAGUGAGGGGAUGUGAUAAUCUUGUGAAUCUGUUUCCAACCAAUCCCAUGUCUUUGCUGGGUUGUCUGGAAGUGCUUGAUGUUUCUAAUUGUGGAAACAUUGAAGUGUUAUUUAACAUCGACAUGAGUUGUGUUGGUGAAAUUGAAGAACACAGUAGCAACUUGAGACAAAUUGAAGUAUCUAAUUUGGAGAAGCUAAGAGAGUUGUGGAGGAUGAAAGGUGAAAGUAGCUCUGAUAUCCUCAUCCGUACCUUUCAAGCUGUUGAAAGUAUAGAAAUAGAAGAGUGCAAGAGGUUUGUAAACGUAUUCACACCGACCGUCACCAAUUCUGAUGUGAAAACAGUUAUGAAUGUGAGUAUAGAUGGAAGGAGACCUUCUGAAGAAACCAGGAGCAACAUUGAAUUGGUUCAGAACAGCCAGGAGGUAUGUGAUGUCAUUGAGCUUUCAAUUUCUCUUUUGAUGUUAACAACUUAUGUAUAUGUGUCUCUAUACAUACAUACACGUAUAUAACAUAUCACACUACAACAAAUCAAUCAAUUCUACACAAUUCUUUCGAUGUGUUCUGCUAGAUUCUCACUCUUGAAUUUCAAUCACACAAGGAUGGAAAGGAGAAAUACAAGAAAUUAUAGAUCUCACACUGGAAAUUGAUGAUCUAAUGAUCAAUUUUACAUACAUGUGAUAGAAAUCUGGCGGUUUGAGUUGCCAAGAUCUCCCAAAGCGACUAAUCUCUAAAAUAAUUGAUAAGAUGUCUCUCCUAACUGAUCUCUUACAAUAUAAAGGCAUAACUGAAAUAGUUAAUUUACUUAUUUACCCGUGCUGCCCACAAUUGCUUACUCAUGGUUUAAAUCCUUUCUUGCCUCUUUGUGAAUAAGUAAGAAUUGGUUUAUUUCCCUUCUUGCCCCUCCUUGAAUAUGUGAACAUGAGUUAUAUUUAUUUGUAAUUAUAUUUGUUGUUGAGAUAUGUGCAGAUUAAUGUAAUAUCCAAGGAAGAGAUCAUUUCAGAGGUGGAUGGUAAUAUUCCUGACGUUGAAUCCUCAAUUCAUCCCAAACCUUUUAACGUUAAUCACCUUCAAGUACUUGGCUGUAAGGAUGUUGAAGUGGUGUUUGAGAUAGAGAGUUCCAGUAACAGCAACAGCACCACAGAUUUCACAACAAGUCUGCAUAAAUAUAAUCAUCAACCACCACCACUACUACUUCCCCACCUCAAGUCUUUAUAUUUAAUAAAUAUGGAGAGGAUGAGUGAUGUGUGGAAGUGCAAUUGGAAGAAACUUGUAAUUCAUCAAAACCAAUCACAAUCCUACUCAUUCCACAACCUCACAAUCAUACACAUGGAAAAGUGUCAUACCAUAAAGUACUUAUUUUCACCUGUCAUGGGCAAACUUCUUCCCAACUUAAAGGAUGUCUGGAUACAUGAGUGUGAUGGUAUUGAAGAAGUUGUUUCAAAUAGAGAUAUUAAUGAUGAAAAUGAAGAAAUAAUAUCUUCUACUCACACAAACACCAUCUCCUCCUUCCCUCUUCUUGAUUCUCUCUACCUUUUUAAUCUGCCAAGCCUAAAGAGUAUCGAUGGCGGUACUACAAUCACAACUACUUCCAUCCAUGAUCAGUUCCAGGUAUAUUUGAUUUCUUUUAAGCGAAUCCUUUACAUAUUUCAGUUAUUUGUUUUAUUUAAAUAUAUAUUUAUUUUUAAUAUUCUAUUUUCCAUUAGCUGCUUUAUAUAACUCCCUAAGCUAAUUCUUCUGAAGCUGGAAAGACAAAAAUAAAUAACUACAUGCAUAGUAUUUAAUAGUUUUUUCAUUUGCGUAGGUCAUUAAGUUGAUUUAGGAUAAGACCGGAUUGUCAGGGAGAGAAAAAAAUUGAUUGAUGGAUGUAUAUAAGUCAUAUGAAAAAUAGAAAAAAAAUGAUUUUAUUGAUGCUUUUUUUUGUUCUGUUUUUUUUUUUUUUUUUUUUUUUUUUUGUUUUGUUUUGUUUUGUUUCCUAGCAUGCUAGUUUGGCUUAGUAAAAUUCGGUUUGUUGUUUAAGAGAAAUAUCUUUUUUGCUGACAUUGAACAAAACAAUAUGAAACUUUAUGUAGCUGUAUCUAAUGUGCCAACUGAAAAUAUAUAAAUACAAUAUGUGACAAUAGGCUCCUGUUUACAAUUUCUUUUGUACCAGAAAAGUGUGCUAUUCAAAAUAUUAACUUUAAGACAUUGAACUAUUAUAGAGUCAAAUGUCAAUGUUGUCAAUUUUGGAAAUAUCUCUAGAUCUUAAUUUAUCAAGUAUAAUUAGCCAACUUUUUACUGAAAAGGACUCCCUUGAAAAAAAUCUUUGUUCUAAAAAUGCUUUCGAUCUAUUUAGCAUAUUAGAAUUAAGAUAGAUUUUAUAAAAAUACAAUUAAUGAAAAUUUAUAGAUGUAUAAUAAAUUAACAUGAAGAAGAUGAUGCAUGUAUAAUAAUUUAACCGUUCAUGUUAGUAAAAUUAUUUAAAACAUGAAGAAGAUGAUGCAUGUAAUCAAUGCAGGUAUGGAAAUAUAAGCAUAUUGAUUGCAAACUCAUUUCCUAAUAAUAAAUAAAUUUAGAAGUACAAUUAUGUUUUCAUUUUCUCACAUUGAGGGGGUAAUGGGUUAUAUAGUCCAAUGAUAUUUGUUUUCUCUUCAUAAAUCAUGGCACUAUAAUAAUUUUGAAUGGGGCCAUAUACAGAAAACCAUUAUAUUUUAGUCAUUUUUUUCUGUUCAACAUAUUUUCAUUUACUUUCUUAUUAUAGCAUCAUACUUUCAUUUCUUCCAGUUAUAGCAUCAUACUUUGAAAAAUAUACCCAAUUACACAUGGCUACAAUGGCUUGAUAAGAAAAGUUGAAAGUAGAAUGCUAUAAAUGGGUGGAUUUUGAAAGUACCUAUAUGCUGGUCUUGGGUCAUUUAUUAAAGGCUAAAAUGCUAGAAAUAGCAAUUUACUUUCAUCGAUUUGCUUAUCAGAGCAUCAUACUUUCUCUUUUUCCUAUUAAAGCAUUGUAGUUUAAGAAACCCACCCAAUUAUAGCAGUGUCAUCUAAAUACAAUGGAUUUCUGUUGCUGUAAUANNNNNNNNNNNNNNNNNNNNNNNNNNAGCAUAUUCAUAUAUAUAAAUAUAUAUAUAUAUAUAUAUAUAUAUAUAUAUAUAUAUAUGUUGAUUAAUUGCUAAUAAAAGUACUUCAAAGUCUGUUCAUUUUCAAGUUUUAAUUUGAAUAAAUGCUAAUUAAUUGUGUUAAUUAGCACCCUGGCAGUUUUGUUUUUUCUUGUUUCUAUUUUCUUUUUUGUAGCUGUUCAAAAUCUCCUGUAAGCCUAUAUAAUUAAGGCCCCUUUUAUGAUUGAUUUAGUGUACCUUUUCUUUCAUCCACCAUCUACUUGUUCUCUCUUGCCAACAAUAUAAAGCAUAGCAUACAACUGUUUUCUUGUUUUUCGUUAUUUGGCUAUACAUAUAACAAGGGUAUUUUGGUCAUUUGACAAACCGUCUUCCUUAAUGGAGUGGAGUCCAAACACCACAGUCUGAUUUCUCUUAAUUCAAAUUUUCACCAUAAAAUCCAACAUGAACUUUGUCUUUUAAACAAUUUGAAUCCUUCAAAAAUAGGCCCAGAUUUUGUGGCCUAGGUGGUCUUCUAUAAUAAACGAAUAAUUGGAAAUGCGGUGCUAUUUCUUGCAUUUAGCCCUUCUUCAAUACAAACAAGUAAAGUUCAUAGUUACAAAAUUUUGCAUAUUUUAUGGUUUAUAUUAUGCUUUUAUGUGUUUAUAGACGUGUUCCUGCAGACAUGUGUGAAAUAUAUAUGUUGAUUAAUUACUAAUCAAAGUACUUCAAAGUCUCUUCAGUUUCGAGUUUUAAUUUGAAUAAAUGCUAAUUAGUUGUGUUAAUUAGCACCCUGGCAGUUUUGUUUUUUCUUGUUUCUAUUUCCUUUUUUCUAGCUGUUCAUAUUCUCGUAUUAGCCUGUAUAAGGCCACUUUUAUGAUUGAUUUAGUGUACCUUUUCUUUCAUCCACCAUCUACUUGUUCUCUCUUGCCAACAAUAUAAGGCAUAGCAUACAACUGAUUUCUCGUUUUUAGUUAUUCGGUUAUAUAUAACAAGGGUAUUUUGGUCAUUUGACAAACCUUCUUCCUUAAUGGAGUGUCCAAAAACCACGAUCUGAUUUCUCUUAAUUCAUUUUUUCACCAUAAAAUCUAACAUGAACUUUGUCUUGUAAACCAUUUGAAUCUUUCACAUGUAGGCCCAGAUUUUGUGGCCUAGGUGGUCUUCUAUGUUUAUGCUGAUUCUGUGUCUUUCAGAAGUAUGCUUCUUAUGAUCCUUCCACUCUCUUCAUGUCGUUGAUUCUGUCUGUCACCAUCAGAACCUCAUAAAAGUUUCUGCUGAGGUGUCAUGCCAGUGGUGACCUGGAAUUUGUGAAAAGUCUAAUGCCAUUUAUUUUCUCUUCAUAAAUCAUGGCACUCUACUUCAGCUUGCCUUAUGAAAUCCACCCAAGUUUGGAGAAAUGUUCUAUGCUGACCACUUUGACCUGCUAUAGCAGGUUAAAGUGGUCACAAUAGAAAAUUUUGUCAAAGUUGAGUGGCUUUAGUGAAAUUAAGUGGACUAAACUUUGACAACCUUUUCAAUUAUGACCACUUUAACCUGCUAUAGUAGGUCAAAUUUGUCGAUAUAGAAAGAAAUUUCAAACUUGGGUAGGUUUGAUGAGCUAAAACUGAAAUGGAAUUGUUAAACUGCAAAAAAAUGGCCGAGAUAUAUUGCCCUUUUGUAGUUCAACUUACAUUGUCGACGUUACUGAACUACCUUAGUUUUGGGAAGCACUUGUGCAUGUACAUAGCAAACAGCUAAGCUUUGUUAAUUUAAAUAGAUCCAUUGAUUUUUCAUGUGUUGUUGUAGUGUUCUCAAGUCGGUGUUGCUUCUUGGUUCUUAUGCCAAUACUCCAAACACAUACAUAUAUGGAAUUGUCCUGCCCUAUCAAGAGUGUUUCCAUCCAAUGUAGUGGGACAACUGAAUAAGCUUGAAGUGUUGAGCAUAUCAGAUUGCAAGUCAAUGGUGGAGAUAUUUGAAAGUAAAGAAAUAAACAAAGAUGGUGUUGAUAGUACUACGAAUGUUGGUGAUGGAAGUGAUGAUACUUGUACUGCAAUCACCAUCCCAAGGUCGGCUAAUAUGACUCUGCUUCAAUUGUCCAACCUAACGAUAUUGAGAAUCUAUGACUGUGAAGUAUUGGAAUAUAUAUUCACAAGUUCCACACUUGAAAGCCUCAAGCAACUCAAAGAACUGAUGGUAGUUAAAUGCAAGGCAAUGAAAGUGAUUGUGAAGGAAGACGGAGAUUUACCAGAACUCAAGGGUUUCUUCCGUCGUCUCAAGUCCCUUACACUUGUAGAUUUACCAGAUCUGAAGGGUUUCUUCUUGGGGAAGAAUGAGUUCAGGUGGAAAGCAUUGGAAAAGGUUAAGAUUUAUGGCUGCCCACAAAUGAUGAAUUUCACAUCUGGUCACUCCAUGACUCCGAAGCUCAACUACAUACAUACAGGAUUAGGCAAGCAUAGUCUUGAAUGUGGCCUCAACUUCAAUUUGACCAAUGUUACACAAGAGGUAUGUUGUUACUUUACUUCAUCAUUUAACCAGAUGAUCAGCAUGUUGUUUUAUGAUGUUCAACAUAUUAUUUGCUUACAAAUUUAGAUGGUUCAUAUGCAAAACAUAGUAUUUGCUUACACUAUGGGGGGUUUUUCCAGGUCGGUUCAUAUGUGUAUUCCGGAAGAAACACAAAACAAAACCAAAUGAAGAUACAUAUAUAACCACUUCCCAUCUUUUGUAUCUAUAAAAAGUUACGAAAAUAUGCAAUUUUUUUUAUUAUAAGUUAAUAUUUCAUUCCUAAGAUAUUAAGUGGUCUCUUAUGUUAUAAAAGAUGUUAUAUUCACUAAUUCAUAAGUUAGCAAUUUAAUAUUUUAAUCAAGUUAGAUGAAGUAAAGACAAAAGGCCCAAUUGACAUAUUCACUGAGGGUGGUUUUUUCCAUGUCUAAAGAUUUUUGAACAUAUACUAUACUAGUUUCCGUUUGAUCAGAAUCAGAUCAACAACCCCUUCUUCUUUACAGUGUCCCUAUUGUAACCACAAAAAUCAACAAAUACAGGGACCAAAUUUGCAGUUUUCGCUAAAACGUAUUUUAAUUUGACAAAAAAAUUGAUCGGUUUGUAGAAAAACAAAGUAUUCAAUUAAAGGAAUAACAAAAUAAGCACCUAAGAAAAAGUGCUUCUAAAAUUCACAAAAUAUUUACGUUCCUUAAAAAUACAAGACUUAAGAAUUUAUAUCAAAUAUAUGAACAUAAAAAAUUAUUUUCUUGUGUAUUACAAAUGAUACUUGGCAAGUUCAUUCUUAUUCAAAUCAUUUGUAAAUUUCAUAGAAUGUGAUCGUUUGGUACCUGACAUAAAUCAUUUAUUAGGAACUUAGAACUAACAUCUUCAUUCGGUUAAGAAAAGAAAACACAAAAUAGAUGGAAAUUGAAGCAUUGCCUCAUUUUACAUAUUUUCACUCAUAUCUGUUAACAAAUAGAUUUUUGUAUGGAAGUAUAUAUUGUAAUUAAAUCAUUUAUAUCGUUUUCAUCCAAUUUAAUUCAAUUAUCUAACAUAUUUUAUAAAUAUUGUGAUGCUAGUUGUUACUUAAUCAAGUUCUUCUUUUCUCUCUCAUCUUUUACAAGGUAAACAUUUUUUUAGCGUUUAUUACCUAAAAUUGACGAAAAUAGUAUAGCUGAGAUGAUUGUAAAAGUGUAAGUAUAUCAUCCAUAUAUCAUUUGUUGUAUUUGACAAUGCCAUAAAAAAUACAAUAACAUAAUUAUCUUUUUUCCUAAAAAAAUUGGAUGUAAAUAUUCAGUACAUGAAAAAUUACCCUUUUUGAAGUAGCCAAAACACUUAACUUUUACUUUUUAUUUUAUCCCCCCCACCCACCCACUCACCCACAAACUAUCAUUUUUACUUUUAUUUAAAAAGACUCGACAAUCAUCGAUAACAAUCUAAAUUAUUUGAGCAAAUGCAAUAUAUAAAGCUGAAAUUUUCUUCAUGGUGCUCAUCUUCACAAAAUAUAAUGUAAGCAGUGUCAUAAACUAGGUUGUUGAUUGGAAAUACAUGUUGGCUCAUUGAAGAAUAACAUAACUUGCAAUCCUUAUUAUGUUUGUAAUAUUAAAUGUAUUUUUCUUUAAUAAUUGUCGUGUUUGUGAUGAUCUAUCUAUGUUUGAUUUUUCUUAGCAGACUCAACUUCCUAUGUGCUCUAUUCCAGAUAUGAUAAUGCUAGUUCAGUUCCCAUGGUCUUUUUCAAAUUUAGUUGAAGUAGAUGCACAAGGGAGUGACAAAUUGUUGAAAAGCCACAUAAUUUUUCCAUGCAAGGAGUUGCUGAAUUUGAAGAAUCUUGAAAAGCUUUCUAUUAUUACCAGCAAGUAUGGUGAAUCUAAAAUAGAGGAGGUAUUUGAAGUAGCAGAAGGGACAAAUGAAGAUGUGGAUAUUGAAACACAAUCUGUUGUGGUAUUUGAGAAGCUGAAAGAGGUGACUUUGGGUAGAUUAAAUAAUCUGAAGCAUAUGUGGAAGAGCAAUCGGUGGAUAGUGUUGAACUUUCCAAACCUUACAAAGGUCUCAAUUGAAAGUUGUAAGCUUCUUGGACACGUUUUCAGUAGUUGCAUGGUUGGCAGUCUAUUGCAGCUCCAAGAGCUACAAAUAAGUAACUGCGAGAGUAUGGAUGUGAUUGUGAAGCAAGUUGAAGAUUCCAAAACCAGACCGACUACAAAGGUUGUGUUCCCUUGUCUAAAAUCCAUAACACUUGAAAUGCUUCCAAAUCUCAAGGGAUUUUGCCUGGGGAAGGAGGCUUUUGAAUGGCCAAUAUUAGAUACUUUGGAAAUCAAAGAUUGUCCAAAAAUAACAGUUUUCACAAAUGGGCAAUCAACUACUCCAAAGCUAAAACUAAUAGAUACAACUUUUGGAUUGUGUCAUGCAACGGAAGACCCAAACUCUUUCAUAAAGACCAAACAAGAAGAGGUAUAUGGUGUCUCCUUUGGUUAUUAGUAACAGAUUAAUAUGUUUGAUCCAACAAAACGUUUACUUUACUCUCGAAUUUACAACUUAUUGUAAUCUCCUCUCCUACAGGGAUGGGAGUUCUAGAGCAACAUCAAAUUCACACGUGCGGUUUGGUUCGUUUUGAAGUUAGCUAUAUAGCACAGGUAAGAUUACAUUGUACACUUAUUUCCUUCUUCCCAAUCAUGUACAUGUUUCUCCACCUUAGUUAUCUGAUCAUUGAAUUGACUUUUUGUCACAGUUGCUUGCUUACUACUCUUUCAAUUCGGGUUAUUGAACUUCUAUUUUCAAGUAAUCUUAUCUAUGAUGUGUCCACUUCUUGUAUUUAAUUAAGCUGUGACCAACUUAGCAAUAAUUACACAAGUUUUUAUUAAUUGGUCUGUACAUGUUCCACUAUUUUAAAUAGUAAAUAAAUUCAGUGGUUGAAGGUGCAUAGAAUGAUAGUCCAUCGUACAUGAAACUUUCUUAGCUCACACCGGGUAAGAAAGAAAAAAAAAGUAUGAAGCUAAUUUGUUAUAACAUAAAACUUCUCUUAAUUCAACAGAUCUGUGCUCUUAAUUUUUAUGAACACCCGGUGUUUGAUAAAAUUCUUCAAUGAAAAAAGACCCAUAAACUUUUGGCUCCUCUUUUAAGUCAAGUGUAUUAAUGUUUGUUUUGUAUAUGAGCACUUAAAUCUUGAGGAAGCGACUCCAUUUCUCUCUUGUAAGUUGAGUGUGUCAGUGUCACCCAUAUAAAAGCUUUGUUUUUCAGUCUCUGAAAUAAAAAGAAUAAAAUUUGGUUACAAAUAUCUUAUGUUCAGUGCAGGUUUCCAUCGCCACCUUCAAUGAAUCUGUCUCAUGAUGAUUUUGAGUUAACAAUUGUUCACUAAACCUAGAUAAGUUACAAUUAUGCCCAUGACUAUGAGCCAUCCAUUGAUUAUUUUAAACCUAUUUGAGAAACAGAACACUUAUGCAUAUUAUCUGAUUUUUGAUGCAUCUGAGGUUUAACAUUUUUUUUAUAAUCAAAUUUAGUUUGAUAUUGGAGUUGUCAUUAUUUAUAAUCACGCUCAGAUUUUGAAAAUGCCACUUAUGUAGAAAUUAUUUGAUGAAAAAAACAUUAUAUUUUCAUUCAUUGUUUAAUUUGUCACUUUGUGCAUGUUUUUGUCGACAUACGGUUGUACCAUAUGAUGACAUGAAAAUUUUUAUGUGGUGGCUGGUUUAGUUGGAUUAAAAGACGUUACCUGUCAAGUUGAUUUUAUGCAGUGGCGGGCUUAGUUAGAAAUAUUUGAUGAAAAAACAUUACAUUUCCAUUUCUUCACAAUCUUCAAACCUUUGGUCAUUUAUUUAAAGUUGCGUAAUGAUCAAUGUUGCAUACUUUAUGUCAGUUGCAUAAAUUUGUAAUGAAAGUGAAACACUGUUGCAGAAUUUGUCUAAAAAAAAUAAAAAAAAUUGGUGCAUAAACUGGUCCUAGAAUGAAACAUAGUUGAAUAAUGAAUAUUAUGUCUAAAAAAAUAUUUUGUUGCAUAAAUUGACUAACAUGUGCAAUCAAUGUCCGUGGCUUAAACAUGUUAAAUCAUAUGGUUAAAAAUGUAAUUCACUCACUUUUCUUAGAAGCAUAUGGUUCCGAAUACAAAUAGAAUCCUAAUAGAUAGAUGAAAAUAAAAUCAUAUUCCUAACCAUCAAACGGCUCCUAGGUGAUUACUUCUUCCCUUUGCUCGACUCAAACGGCUCUAGCUUCGGCCGCAAAGAGUUGACGUUUGAGAUUGGCUAUUUCUUUCUCAAGAGAGUGUAUGUAGUCUGUAUCACUUUCCUUAAUAGUGUGUGAGUCUGAUAGGGCUUCCGAUGGGUGGGGCUUACUAGGUGUAUCCUUAACGUCCUUUCCUUCAUCUGACUCCUGGUCAGAUUCAUCAUAUUCGUAAUCAGUUACCACGUACUCUUCCGGUUCCACUCCGGGUCCCACCUCCCAUUGUAGGGCCUCCUUCAGGCUUUUCUUCAGGAUUGUCAUCUAGACCCACCUCAAUCUCCCUAUAGACUACUAGAGCUUGAUAGUAGGGGUCGUCUUGCUGCAUUCCUGCCAUAUUGCCCGCGUGGGAAGUAUAGGUGUGAAAAGUGUGUGCAUUGGGGUGUAUAAGGAUAGUAUUCUUAAAAUACUCCUACAAUGUUUAUUUUUCUUAAGUUUAGUUCCUUUAACCUAUUUGGAUAGUUAGAUGGUAAGCUUUCGGUUUAUUGACCAUCACGAUUAUUCCCAAACAUAUGUUGAUCUUACUUUGAAUGAAUGUAGUUGAUUAGGCUACAUUGAUCCCCAAUACGAUUACAUAACUGCCCUGAUUAAAUCGCAAUGUUCAAAUCCCCCAAAAACUUUUAUUGUAUAGUAUCAUGCUAUUAUUCUAAAACACGCACAUAGGUAAGUAUUUUAUUUACUCUGUUCAGAGUUAUUUAGCCCCAUUGUGUUUAUAGUUGCAUAUCAUGUAUGCUUAGAUAUGUUAGUUCACUAUAAACAAAGCUCUGAUACCAACCUGUCACACCCCUGAACCAGACGACGGAAACGUCCGGGGGUUCGUGUGACUUAAAUUGAAAUAUUAUCACAAUGAAUAUACAAGAAACAUAACAUAAACAUGACCAUGCAGUAAUACAUUACAACUGACCUUGUUCACAUCAAGUACAUUGUUUACAUUACAAUAUCACAGAGCAUAAAUUGUUUAACGAUUGACAUUUGCACAAAAGAAAGAAAAAGGGAAGAGGGAAAAGGGAAGAGGGAAAGAAAGAAUGGCAUGGAAACAUGAGAUCAUGCAUAGUCACAUGUUGUGUAAUAUGCUUAGAUGACCACUGAACAAUAAUGAGGUGGCUAGCACUCAUUAAUCUUCUUAGUUUCUCCGUUUUUGUAUUGGGCCGAAAUGGGCUGAAGAAAGAGGAAAGGAAUCACUUUGGCCCAUUCUUGGUCUUGCUCGAAAGUGUGAAGUCUCUAUACAAGUUUUCGGCCCAUUGGGCCUUUAGGGUAGUUCAUGGCCCAAUGAAAUCCAAUUGGAGAGGGUUUACGGUCCAAUAAGGAAUUUAAUUCACUUAUGGCCCAAUAAGGCCCAUUAGUGUAAAAUGAUCCAUUCUAGACCCAUAAGGCCCAAAAGGUUAAGUUUCAUGAAAGUGGGUCCAAUUAGGGCCCAUUUAAGGGUUCUAAGCCCAAAGUAGUCAAAUUGAAAGCUUAUUGGUCCAUUAGGCCCAAUAAGGAAAUCCUAGUCCAUAAUGGAUUUAGGUCGGGAUUCUUAGGGUUUUCAAACCCUAACUUGACUUUGUAAUGUUUUGCAUGAAGUUUGGGCUUUAUAAUUGGAUUUUUGAUGAAAGUUUGUUGUUAUUGAAUAACAUCAUAUGCAUAUCAAGUUAUGGUUACAAUUUGUUGUCAUUGAUAUUGUUUACAAAAGUAUAGAAUUUCCUAGCAAAUUUGCUAGUUGUGACAGAUACGACCCGUAUGGGUCGAUUUGGUCAAGUCUACCGACGCAGGAGAUAAGUUCAAGAUUGAUGUUGGAAUAAGUUUUAAGAUUCCUUUAGGAUUCAAGUUUCCUUUUUUACAGUUUCUUUUUAUUAAUGUAUUAGUUUUGGAUAUUGAUUAGGUUUUUUGUUAUUAAGGAUUUGUUUAGGUUUAGCUGGACAUUAUAAAUAAAGCACCUUAGGAACACAUUUUUCUUUAUGCAUGGAAUACAAGUCUUUGACUGUUUUUUUGGAGAAUUCCCUGUUUCUCGAAUCACAGGCGGGUCGACUAAGGUUCUUACCUCCGGGAAGGAUCUUGAUCUUAUUAAAGAUCUAUGUCAGAUGCUGUUAUUUCACCACCUGAAAUAUUAACAAAAAAAAUAAUAAAAAAGUUUCCAAUUACAACUAAAAAGUUUCACUGCCCCUCCCCCAAAACAGAAUCUAGACAUCAGACAUCAGGUAGCAAUGCGAGUGAAAAGAGUGACAACAAUACUGGUAUAACUUACACCGACUCCAAAGGUGAUUUGGAGACACAAAAUAGGUAUUUUAAACUUCUUUCAAUCAUGGAAAUAAAAAGAGUUAGUUACAAGAAUUGUCCUUGUGUUAUACCCAAAGUUGCAUAUUCAAUCCAACUUUGUUUUUUCUGUUUCAUUUUGGUCCCUAACAUUGGUUUUUGUUUCCGAUUUAUCACUGGUCCUGUAAAAUGACAUGUAAAAAUAGUUUAAAAAUAAACAAAUUAUAGAAAACUUUACAUUUUUGUUCCUUAAGUAUGGCUGCUUUUUUGCAAUUUUGGUCCUAAAACGUUUUCUUUUGCAUUUUUUGUCCUUAGUUGACAUUCGUGUAAUGUUUUUGGUCCCGGUUCCAAAUUAAGUGACAAUUUUUUCUCUAUGGGUGUGAUUUUGCAAUUUCGAUCCCAAAAAUAGCCAUUUUACUAGGAACAAGGGAAAAAAAAACGUUAUAAAAAUCUUAAAUAAGGACCAAAUUAGCAUGACAACCUUUUGGGACCAAAAUUAAAAACAUCAGCUAUACUCAGGGACCAAAAAUGCAAUGUACUUUAAAAAGAAACAUAUGAGGGUAGAAAAUUCAUUUUAUUGUAGAAGUUGGACUAAACCUGAAAUGUUGGGAAUAACAUAGAGACCAUUCUUGUAAUUACUCUAAAAAAGAAUAAAACUUGGUAACAAAUGUCUACCUUAUAAUGGGUGCAGUCUUUCAUCGCCACCAUUAUGACGGUUUCGACUUUACCAUUGUUCAUGAAACCCUGAGAAAUGACUAUAAUGCCCUUGAUCAUGAGCCACCCAUUGUGAAGGAAACACCAAUCAAGAGCAGUUACCCUACUACUCUUGAAUCUGUCUCCGAGUCAAUCAUAAUCUAAUCAAAGUUUCCCACUCGUUCCUUUUCUUCCCCUUGUUCCACAUUAGCUUCUGAAUGCAUGAACACAACAACACCGCCUAAAAAACAACAAAUCCCUCAAAACAAUUCACAUAUAGAUUCAAGCGUCAAUUCCCAUUUUCAUAAAAGAAGAAAGUCUUCAGCUUUAGCAUCAGUCAAGAUGGCCCACUUUGAUUCCCCUGACCCUAAAACCAAAUUUCCAGUUAAAGAAACCAUGAAUCUUGAUGAUGAAACCAAGAAUGAUCUAAAAAUAUCGUGUUCACUAUGUGCAAAACCCACUGGGUCUUGCGGAAAAUGACUAUUAUGUCCCUUGUUCUUUGAUGUCGUUAUCUAAGGUGCAGUUGGUGUCAAGUUGGAAAGGGAGAGAAAAGGGUCUCACAUGUGUAGCUGUUGUGGUGUCUGAUAUUACAUGUGUUGAUGGGAGAAUUUGGAGCAAAGAAGAUGGAUGUGUAUUAAAUACGGCUUUCUACCCUUUCUGUAGUGAUCAAGUCAAUUGCCUUGGGUUACAUGUUGUGGCAACUGAUUCCUCUAAUGUGUAGCUUUUAAACAAGGUAUCAUAUCAAUUCAUACUAUUAUAAUAUCUUGUCGCAUAUCCAACUGAUAAUUAUUGAGGGCAUAUUGGUUAUUUUGUUGAUUUAUGUUUUGGGAGUUGGGAGUUGGGAUGUGAUGAAUAUGAUCACAAAAUAUCUUUGAUCCUUCAGAGAUAUACAACCAACUUAUAUAACUUUUCUAUAUGCAGGUGCUCUUUUAUUCUGAAAGACUAGAAAUCCAACAUAUCGAUACAUCAACAACAAAUAACGUAAUUUUGCAUACGUUUCAAAUCGAAAGUGACUCCCUUAAAACAUUUGCAACUUUUGUCUUAUUGAAAUCAGGCACACAGUCCCAAUCCAAUACAUACCAAAUGCAGUACAACCUGUUUUUUCAUAUACCGUCAUGUGUAACAAACUGGAUUUUAAUUGUAGGAAGUCUCACCUUCUAGUGUUACAAGUUUGAGUAAAGGCGUCUCACAAAAUCCGUUUGAGAAAUUUGCCUACACAUCUCCACAAACCAACUUGAUAGGUUGAAGAACCACAAAAUCUAAGGUCAAAAAUCUAUAAUAUCUUGUUAUUUAUAGAUUCAUUAAACGUAUUUUAAAUUCUAGUUAAAGUUAAACUAUGUUUGUUGAUCAUGCAGAUGAGAUUACCAAAGAAAGUCCAAGUAUCCACUUCUGAAUAUUAAUGCCUAACCUUACAUGUAAAUUCUCAAUCAUUGCUAAAUUGGUUUUAAACCUAUUUGGGAAAUUUAGGAUCUAUGGUUAUUAUAUUAAUUUCAUGAUACAUUUGAGGUGUAUGACCAAUAAAAUGUGACUAUUGUAGUUGUAACAUUCUUUAUGACCAGCCAUAGUUUUAAUUUUGUUGUUUAUAAUGUUAUUUUCCUGCUUUUGGACAUGUUAAAUAAUCAACUCUAAUACGUUUUAAUUAAAGAUAUAAUAUUUUGAUGUAGAAAGUUGGAAUGAUCAAAUGAUUAGUAUUUAGUAGGUUAAGUGUUUUUAAUGAUAAAUAAAAUAUUUUUUACUAUAAAAUAGCCAACAAGACCAUAAAAGUAAUAUUUUGCUAAACAUGAAAUUAUAUUUCACUAAUUCAACCAUUUAAACCCUCGUCCAAGAAAACCAAUGGGACCAUUAUGGACUAUGAAAAAGAGAAUACGGAAAUGAUAGAUGUUGAAAUGAUGAAAGAAAUAUCUUACUUAAAUUUGUAUCACUCUUUAUUGUCUAAUCAUUUCCCAUUUUCCUAUUUGUUUUUCAUUUUUCAUUAGGCUUCAUGAUUUUUGUAGAUGGUGGUUUCCUGAUAGUGAGGUCAUAGAUUAAAUUUAUGUAAAUUUGUGCGUUCAAAUGUUAAAGGUCAUUCGAACGUAUUUGCUAUUGAUAUUUGAUUAUUUUUGCUAUCAUUAAUUUGGCUCAAACGGAAAAGUACAACUCUUUGCAGUUAGAUAAAAAAAAUUGUGAUCGAAUUUACUUUGACUGCAUUGAUAAAAUAUGAAACAAUUAAAGAAGUUUGCAAUCACGUGGACAUAUUGCGUACUCAGUCUAAUUUUGAUAAGUGGUACCGGUUAGAGUCAUAUAUUCAAACACUUCAAUCUAAUACUAUGAGUGUCCAAGAUUUUUUGUUAGGACGUUUUGUUAUUAAAAGUUUUGAACUAUUUUUUCUCAUUAUUUUAAACCAUUUAAUUUAAUAUGAUAUGGUUUUUUAAAACACAUGUUUUAGUUGUUAAAUUAAAUUAUUACAUAAGCUUUUUCAAAUAUUAGACCAACUAAUAAUCAUCCCACUAAAUACAAUUAUUUUGAAAUUUUUUACAAAUUCUCUUUUUCUUUUUUGCAAAGGGAUGCCCAAAAUUAGGGUGAUAUAUAUGUGGUGUAAAUGAAAUAUCACAUAUUAAGGUGGGGUAGGGAUCCGACAUUGUAUCGUGCUUCAAUAGAAACCGGUGGGACCUUUGACUGUUAGUAUAUUACUUGUGCUAUACUCUGUAGUAUGUUAGGCAAUGCUCUUAGUACCUAGAUUAUGACUGUUGACUGCAUUAUUUCCAUCCAUCCAAUACCAUGGUAUUUGCAGGUCAACAGCAAUAAUUGAGGCUUGUUCAUACUUCAAUAUAUUGGCCUUCUUCUUCACAAUUCCAACCAGUUGUACACAUACGCACUUUACAAAGCAGCAAAAACAGCAAGCAUUAGCACAGGCGCAUAUAGUAGAAGAGGUAUGUUUUUGUUGAAAGUUUUUCUCUUUGUUUAUGAAUAAUUUUUCUUAGUUGUUUUUAGUUUUCAAUCUAUCGAUCCUUGACGAAAUUAUCUGAAAAAAAUGUUUUGCUUUGUUACUUGUUGUGGAUUGUUCGUGUAUGCUCCACAUAUAAAAUCAAGUCAAUGUUUAAAUGAAUGACAAUGCCUCCUCAUUUUCCCUCUUUUGAUUAUUGAACAAUGUUUUGGAGGAAUGGUUUUCUUAGGACAGAUGCUUCCACGUAGAGAUCAGUUCUAGCCCUAAUAAACCCCCUAAUAGUAUCACUGUGGGACUCUGUUUCCAACUAAUAGAUACCCUAAUUAAAAGGCACGGUAUUUUGUUCCUCAUCUCUCACAAUUUUACAUGAUGAUGAAGAUGUUGAAAUUAACAAUCUAUUCCCACUUUCAAUCAUUUCAAAGAAAACCAAGGUUAAGUUGACAAGGGAAGACAAACAGCAAAAUUAACUAUGAAUUUACAUACACAUUAAUUUACCAACUAUCAAUUCUAUUCUAGCCAAACUUAUUAUGUGUCCUGAAUCCUGAAGGAAACUUUUUAUAACACUAAUUAUCUAUGGAUUGUAUAUGAUAUUUGAAAAAAGAUAGCUGCGCAGGCUAAUAAUUAACAACUUUUAACAAUUUCAUUGCCUUUUUUAUCUGUUACAGGUCUUUGUAAAAGCUAGAAUAUUGAAAGAUGGAGCUUGUAUCUACAAUCAUUAGUCCUAUUGUUGAAUCUUUAAUUGCUCCUGUCAAGAAACAACUGAGAUAUCUCUUUUCGUCCACGAAACAUGUUAGGAACAUGAAUACUAAAAUAAAGCUACUGGAUGAUACAAGCCGUGAUGUCAAAAAGCACAUGGAAACAAACAAUAGAAGUAAUCUGGAGAUACCUACUCAUGUACUGGGGUGGUUGAAAGAAGUCGAAAAGACUAAAGAAAAAGCUCAAAGCAUUCCAAGUACUGGGAACGGAUGUUGUAACUUGAAAAUGAGGUAUCGAGCUGGAAGGAAGGCAUUCAAGACUACGGAGGAGAUGGAAAGUCUUAUUGAUGAAAAUAGUAAGAUAAUUUGGACAAAUGCUCAAAGACCUCUUGGGAAAGUGAACUCAGAAAUCGCAUCCAGUUCUGCACCUUCGGAUGGUGAUGCCCAAAAUCACUUCAAAUCAAGAGAGAAGUCUUUUAAGAACGCCUUGGAGUCCCUCCAACAAGAUCACAAGAGCAAAGUGAUAGCCC